UACGUAGGGCGCAAGCGUUAUCCGGAAUUAUUGGGCGUAAAGAGCUCGUAGGCGGUCUGUCGCGUCUGCUGUGAAAACUCAGGGCUUAACCCUGAGCUUGCAGUGGGUACGGGCAGACUAGAGUGCGGUAGGGGAGACUGGAAUUCCUGGUGUAGCGGUGAAAUGCGCAGAUAUCAGGAGGAGCACCGGUGGCGAAGGCGGGUCUCUGGGCCGUAACUGACGCUGAGGAGCGAAAGCAUGGGGAGCGAACAGG
This 253-nucleotide ribosomal RNA is filed under the name uncultured bacterium. RNAcentral's name for it is "partial 16S ribosomal RNA". It matches the Rfam family "Bacterial small subunit ribosomal RNA", at positions 524 to 776 of the family's 1533-position model. The record is from RNAcentral.